AGAGUUUGAUCCUGGCUCAGGACGAACGCUGGCGGCGUGGAUUAGGCAUGCAAGUCGAGCGGCAAGGUUCCUUCGGGAACCCUAGAGCGGCGAACGGGUGAGUAACACGUGAACAAUCUGUCCCUACAUUCCGGAUAAUUCGCCGAAAGGCGUUGUAAUACGGGGGAGGAUCACUCUUUGGCAUCUUAGAGUGAGGGAAGGCGCAAGCCGUGCAGGGGGGAGUUCGCGGCCUAUCAGGUAGUUGGUGGGGUAAUGGCCUACCAAGCCGACGACGGGUAGCUGGUCUGAGAGGAUGGUCAGCCACAUUGGAACUGAGACACUGUCCAGACUCCUACGGGAGGCUGCAGUCGAGAAUCUUGGGCAAUGCACGAAAGUGUGACCCAGCGACGCCGCGUGAAGGAUGAAGGCCCUCUGGGUCGUAAACUUCUUUUAUGGGGAAAGAAUAAAUGACGGUACCCCAUGAAUAAGCCACGGCUAACUACGUGCCAGCAGCCGCGGUAAUACGUAGGUGGCAAGCGUUGUCCGGAUUUACUGGGCGUAAAGCGUAUGCAGGCGGAUGUUUAAGUAAGAAGUGAAAGGUUGCAGCUCAACUGCGACACUGCUUCUUAUACUGGGCAUCUUGAGUGGCGGAGAGGGAGAUGGAACGACACGUGUAGCGGUGAAAUGCGUUGAUAUGUGUCGGAACACCAAUGGCGAAAGCAAUCUCCUGGACGCAAACUGACGCUGAGAUACGAAAGCUAAGGUAGCAAACAGGAUUAGAUACCCCCGUAGUCC
Molecule: ribosomal RNA, 774 nt
Filed under: uncultured bacterium
Lineage: Bacteria
Description: bacterial SSU rRNA
Rfam family: Bacterial small subunit ribosomal RNA
Source: RNAcentral